CCAGACUCCUACGGGAGGCAGCAGUGGGGAAUAUUGCACAAUGGGGGAAACCCUGAUGCAGCGACGCCGCGUGAGUGAAGAAGUAUUUCGGUAUGUAAAGCUCUAUCAGCAGGGAAGAAAAUGACGGUACCUGACUAAGAAGCCCCGGCUAACUACGUGCCAGCAGCCGCGGUAAUACGUAGGGGGCAAGCGUUAUCCGGAUUUACUGGGUGUAAAGGGAGCGUAGACGGCAUGGCAAGUCAGAUGUGAAAGCCCGGGGCUCAACCCCGGGACUGCAUUUGAAACUGUCAGGCUGGAGUGCAGGAGAGGUAGGCGGAAUUCCUAGUGUAGCGGUGAAAUGCGUAGAUAUUAGGAGGAACACCAGUGGCGAAGGCGGCCUGCUGGACGACAACUGACGGUGAGGCGCGAAAGCGUGGGGAGCAAACAGGAUUAGAUACCCCGGUAUC
RNAcentral lists this ribosomal RNA (446 nucleotides) under uncultured bacterium. Its description in RNAcentral is "bacterial SSU rRNA". It matches the Rfam family "Bacterial small subunit ribosomal RNA", at positions 331 to 794 of the family's 1533-position model. The record is from RNAcentral.